Molecule: ribosomal RNA, 434 nt
Filed under: uncultured bacterium
Lineage: Bacteria
Description: partial 16S ribosomal RNA
Rfam family: Bacterial small subunit ribosomal RNA
Source: RNAcentral
AGCGAACGCUGGCGGCAGGCCUAACACAUGCAAGUCGAACGAACCUUUCGGGGUUAGUGGCGGACGGGUGAGUAACACGUGGGAACGUACCUUUAGGUUCGGAAUAACUCAGGGAAACUUGUGCUAAUACCGAAUGUGCCCUUCGGGGGAAAGAUUUAUCGCCUUUAGAGCGGCCCGCGUCUGAUUAGCUAGUUGGUUGAGGUAAUGGCUCACCAAGGCGACGAUCAGUAGCUGGUCUGAGAGGAUGAUCAGCCACAUUGGGACUGAGACACGGCCCAAACUCCUACGGGAGGCAGCAGUGGGGAAUCUUGCGCAAUGGGCGAAAGCCUGACGCAGCCAUGCCGCGUGAAUGAUGAAGGUCUUAGGAUUGUAAAAUUCUUUCACCGGGGACGAUAAUGACGGUACCCGGAGAAGAAGCCCCGGCUAACUUCGUG